RNAcentral lists this ribosomal RNA (84 nucleotides) under Listeria monocytogenes. RNAcentral also lists the same sequence under 2 other names. Lineage: Bacteria; Bacillati; Bacillota; Bacilli; Caryophanales; Listeriaceae. The record is from RNAcentral.
UCUGGUAGUUAUGGCGAGAAGGUCACACCCGUUCCCAUCCCGAACACGGUAGUUAAGCUUCUCUGCGCCAAUGGUAGUUGGGGG